AACGAACGCUGGCGGCGCGUCUUAAGCAUGCAAGUCGAACGGCAAGAGAGGAGCUUGCUUCUCUCCUAGAGUGGCGGACUGGUGAGGAACACGUGGGUAAUCUACCCUUAAGAUGGGGAUAGCUGCUAGAAAUAGCAGGUAAUACCGAAUACACUCGGCAUAUCACAAGAGAUGUUGAGGAAAGGAAGCUACGGCUUCGCUUGAGGAUGAGCUUGCGUCCCAUUAGCUAGUUGGUGAGGUAAAGGCCCACCAAGGCGACGAUGGGUAUCCGGCCUGAGAGGGUGAACGGACACAUUGGGACUGAGAUACGGCCCAAACUCCUACGGGAGGCAGCAGCUAAGAAUAUUCCGCAAUGGACGGAAGUCUGACGGAGCGACGCCGCGUGGAUGAAGAAGGCUGAAAAGUUGUAAAAUCCUUUUGUUGAUGAAGAAUAAGGGUGAGAGGGAAUGCUCAUCUGAUGACGGUAAUCGACGAAUAAGCCCCGGCUAAUUACGUGCCAGCAGCCGCGGUAACACGUAAGGGGCGAGCGUUGUUCGGAAUUAUUGGGCGUAAAGGGCAUGUAGGCGGCUAUGUAAGCCUGAUGUGAAAUCCUGGGGCUUAACCCUAGAAUAGCAUUGGGUACUGUAUAGCUUGAAUUACGGAAGGGAAACUGGAAUUCCAAGUGUAGGGGUGGAAUCUGUAGAUAUUUGGAAGAACACCGGUGGCGAAGGCGGGUUUCUGGCCGAUAAUUGACGCUGAGAUGCGAAAGUGUGGGGAUCGAACAGG
Molecule: ribosomal RNA, 765 nt
Filed under: uncultured Treponema sp.
Lineage: Bacteria; Pseudomonadati; Spirochaetota; Spirochaetia; Treponematales; Treponemataceae
Description: bacterial SSU rRNA
Rfam family: Bacterial small subunit ribosomal RNA
Source: RNAcentral